AACGAACGCUGGCGGCAGGCCUAACACAUGCAAGUCGAACGAUCUCUUCGGAGAUAGUGGCAGACGGGUGCGUAACACGUGGGAAUAUGCCUUUAGGUACGGAAUAACAGCUGGAAACGGCUGCUAAUACCGUAUAGUCCCUCCGGGGUAAAGAUUUAUCGCCUAAAGAUUAGCCCGCGCCUGAUUAGUUUGUUGGUGAGGUAAAAGCUCACCAAGACGAUGAUCAGUAGCUGGUCUGAGAGGAUGAUCAGCCACACUGGAACUGAGACACGGUCCAGACUCCUACGGGAGGCAGCAGUGGGGAAUAUUGGACAAUGGGCGCAAGCCUGAUCCAGCCAUGCCGCGUGAGUGAAGAAGGCCUUAGGGUUGUAAAGCUCUUUCGCUAGGGAAGAUAAUGACUGUACCUAGACAAGAAGUCCCGGCUAACUUCG
RNAcentral lists this ribosomal RNA (431 nucleotides) under uncultured Alphaproteobacteria bacterium. Its description in RNAcentral is "bacterial SSU rRNA". It matches the Rfam family "Bacterial small subunit ribosomal RNA", at positions 29 to 505 of the family's 1533-position model. The record is from RNAcentral. Lineage: Bacteria; Pseudomonadati; Pseudomonadota; Alphaproteobacteria.